This 480-nucleotide ribosomal RNA is filed under the name Streptomyces sp. Its description in RNAcentral is "bacterial SSU rRNA". It matches the Rfam family "Bacterial small subunit ribosomal RNA", at positions 93 to 586 of the family's 1533-position model. The record is from RNAcentral. Lineage: Bacteria; Bacillati; Actinomycetota; Actinomycetes; Kitasatosporales; Streptomycetaceae.
UAGUGGCGAACGGGUGAGUAACACGUGGGCAAUCUGCCCUGCACUCUGGGACAAGCCCUGGAAACGGGGUCUAAUACCGGAUACUGAUCCUCGCAGGCAUCUGCGAGGUUCGAAAGCUCCGGCGGUGCAGGAUGAGCCCGCGGCCUAUCAGCUAGUUGGUGAGGUAACGGCUCACCAAGGCGACGACGGGUAGCCGGCCUGAGAGGGCGACCGGCCACACUGGGACUGAGACACGGCCCAGACUCCUACGGGAGGCAGCAGUGGGGAAUAUUGCACAAUGGGCGAAAGCCUGAUGCAGCGACGCCGCGUGAGGGAUGACGGCCUUCGGGUUGUAAACCUCUUUCAGCAGGGAAGAAGCGAAAGUGACGGUACCUGCAGAAGAAGCGCCGGCUAACUACGUGCCAGCAGCCGCGGUAAUACGUAGGGCGCAAGCGUUGUCCGGAAUUAUUGGGCGUAAAGAGCUCGUAGGCGGCUUGUCAC